Long non-coding RNA from Wyeomyia smithii (pitcher-plant mosquito), 1039 nucleotides. RefSeq lists it as uncharacterized. NCBI's taxonomy places the organism in Eukaryota, Metazoa, Arthropoda, Insecta, Diptera, Culicidae. The transcript is spliced from 4 exons. The record is from RefSeq and is a predicted model, not a curated record.
CUUGUUUUUUCUAUAACUGCCAACAGUGUGAAAAUUAUAAGAGAAAAUCAAAAACAAGUGAAAACGGCAGAUUUAUUGAACGAAUUAUCGCUGAACGUGGAUUUUUAACAGUAGUGUCUGCUAUAUCUGGAUAUUUUUAAAGAACCAGGAUUGCAAACGCUGGCCCUUAUAAUCUUAAGUUGAUCAGAGUUCAUUUCUGCUAUCAACAAUCUUCCAGUAGUUAGUUAUGGUCAUGAGUACAAAGUUGAAGAGUAAGAAUUAUUAUACAUAAAUAAACAUACAGCAGUUUACAAUUGCAUAACGUUGGGGCUAACUACCCAACAGACAAUUUUGUUGAUUUUCAGCUUGUUAAACUGCUAUUAGACUGAUUCCGGCAGAACUCAAGCCUGAUAAGCUGGUAUACAACAAAAUUGUUUGCUGGGGAAGCAUCCGAGAAAGCAUCUGUGAGCGGUGAUGAAAUUUAUUUAACGGUCGUGGUUGUGCCAAUCAUUCUGGAAAAGUCUUGAGUAAAAUCAAUUACGUGAAGUAGUUAGAGAGGAAACGAUACAGACAACUAUCGUCUUUUGUCACCUGCAUGAGAAGCAGCAGUACGUUGGGUAAAUUAAUAAACUUCCCUAGUCAACGUUACUUUGUCGGUUGUAAGUUAGUUUUCCGAUACGAAACCGUUUUUGAGACAGCUCGCAGAAGUCGCAAAAGAGUUUGCUUAUCAACUUCUUGAUAAUGCCUCCCAAAAGCUUUGAUUAAGAAAUCUGAGCAAAGGAUUCAAGAAAAAAAUGGAUGCCUUGUGUGAACUAAUUUCCAAUGACUGUUGCCCAGUCUGACACAUUGCUAUUGGUGCGGAACAGAACAGAAACGUCCGUACAGCUAAGAAAAACAUAGGAUAUAUAAGAAGAGCAACAAACAUCUAUUUGACCAAAAUUAGUUGUAGUUGAAAAAGAUUUACAUUUACAUUUGCCAGCUUAUAAGGCCAAAAAGGGACCGACUUUUGUAAGUUAAGACACAGUUGACGAGUCACUUUUCAAUAUAAAUUAAUAUUAAU